RNAcentral lists this ribosomal RNA (300 nucleotides) under uncultured bacterium. RNAcentral describes it as "bacterial SSU rRNA". It matches the Rfam family "Archaeal small subunit ribosomal RNA", at positions 1040 to 1338 of the family's 1478-position model. The record is from RNAcentral.
AACGAGCGAGAUCCCUGCCUCUAGUUGCCACCAUUACUCUCAGGAGUAGUGGGGCGAAUUAGCGGGACCGCCGUAGUUAAUACGGAGGAAGGAAGGGGCCACGGCAGGUCAGUAUGCCCCGAAACUCUGGGGCCACACGCGGGCUGCAAUGGUAACGACAAUGGGUUUCGAAUCCGAAAGGAUGAGGUAAUCCUCAAACGUUACCACAGUUAUGACUGAGGGCUGCAACUCGCCCUCACGAAUAUGGAAUCCCUAGUAACUGCGUGUCAUUAUCGCGCGGUGAAUACGUCCCUGCUCCUU